GGGGAUGUAGCUCAAAUGGUAGAGUUCUUGCUUUGCAUGUGAGAUGCAUAGGGAUUAAUUCCUAGCAUAUCUA
This 73-nucleotide transfer RNA is filed under the name Ipomoea nil (Japanese morning glory). It matches the Rfam family "tRNA". Rfam says of the family: Transfer RNA (tRNA) molecules are approximately 80 nucleotides in length. Their secondary structure includes four short double-helical elements and three loops (D, anti-codon, and T loops). Lineage: Eukaryota; Viridiplantae; Streptophyta; Magnoliopsida; Solanales; Convolvulaceae. The record is from Rfam by way of RNAcentral.